RNAcentral lists this ribosomal RNA (479 nucleotides) under uncultured bacterium. RNAcentral describes it as "bacterial SSU rRNA". It matches the Rfam family "Bacterial small subunit ribosomal RNA", at positions 29 to 505 of the family's 1533-position model. The record is from RNAcentral.
UUGAACGCUGGCGGCAUGCCUUACACAUGCAAGUCGAACGGUAACAGGUCUUCGGAUGCUGACGAGUGGCGAACGGGUGAGUAAUACAUCGGAACGUGCCCGCUCGUGGGGGAUAACGGAGCGAAAGCUUUGCUAAUACCGCAUACGAUCUACGGAUGAAAGCAGGGGACCGCAAGGCCUUGCGCGGACGGAGCGGCCGAUGGCAGCUUAGGUAGUUGGUGGGAUAAAAGCUUACCAAGCCGACGAUCUGUAGCUGGUCUGAGAGGACGACCAGCCACACUGGGACUGAGACACGGCCCAGACUCCUACGGGAGGCAGCAGUGGGGAAUUUUGGACAAUGGGCGAAAGCCUGAUCCAGCCAUGCCGCGUGAGUGAAGAAGGCCGUCGGGUUGUAAAGCUCUUGCAGACGGAAAGAAAGCGGGCGGGUGAAGAGCCUGCCUGGAUGACGGUACUGUCAGAAGAAGCACCGGCUAACUACG